This 76-nucleotide transfer RNA is filed under the name Acuticoccus sp. RNAcentral describes it as "tRNA-Lys". It matches the Rfam family "tRNA". Rfam says of the family: Transfer RNA (tRNA) molecules are approximately 80 nucleotides in length. Their secondary structure includes four short double-helical elements and three loops (D, anti-codon, and T loops). Further hydrogen bonds mediate the characteristic L-shaped molecular structure. tRNAs have two regions of fundamental functional importance: the anti-codon, which is responsible for specific mRNA codon recognition, and the 3' end, to which the tRNAs corresponding amino acid is attached (by aminoacyl-tRNA synthetases). tRNAs cope with the degeneracy of the genetic code in two manners: having more than one tRNA (with a specific anti-codon) for a particular amino acid; and 'wobble' base-pairing, i.e. permitting non-standard base-pairing at the 3rd anti-codon position. Lineage: Bacteria; Pseudomonadati; Pseudomonadota; Alphaproteobacteria; Hyphomicrobiales; Amorphaceae. RNAcentral also lists the same sequence under 2 other names. The record is from RNAcentral.
GCGCCGGUAGCUCAGCUGGUAGAGCAUUCGACUUUUAAUCGAACGGUCCGGGGUUCGAGCCCCCGCCGGCGUACCA